RNAcentral lists this ribosomal RNA (274 nucleotides) under uncultured bacterium. Its description in RNAcentral is "partial 16S ribosomal RNA". It matches the Rfam family "Bacterial small subunit ribosomal RNA", at positions 523 to 796 of the family's 1533-position model. The record is from RNAcentral.
AUACGGAGGGUGCAAGCGUUACUCGGAAUCACUGGGCGUAAAGCGCGCGCAGGCGGGCUGAUAAGUUGGAUGUGAAAGCCUACGGCUCAACCGUAGAACUGCAUCCAAAACUGUCAGUCUAGAGUGUGGGAGAGGAAGAUGGAAUUAGUUGUGUAGGGGUAAAAUCCGUAGAGAUAACUAGGAAUACCAAAAGCGAAGGCAAUCUUCUGGAACACUACUGACGCUGAGGCGCGAAGGCGUGGGGAGCAAACAGGAUUAGAAACCCUAGUAGUCC